Molecule: transfer RNA, 71 nt
Filed under: Gemmatimonadaceae bacterium
Lineage: Bacteria; Pseudomonadati; Gemmatimonadota; Gemmatimonadia; Gemmatimonadales; Gemmatimonadaceae
Description: tRNA-Cys
Rfam family: tRNA
About the family: Transfer RNA (tRNA) molecules are approximately 80 nucleotides in length.
Source: RNAcentral
GGCGCCGUCGCCAAGUGGUAAGGCAGGAGUCUGCAAAACUCCCAUCAUCGGUUCGAUUCCGAUCGGCGCCU